GGCGAUGCGGGAUGAACCGAACGCCCUGAUAAAGUGCCGAACUGCUCGCUCAUCAGACCCCACAAAAGGUGUUGGUUCAUUUAGACAGCAGGACGGUGGCCAUGGAAGUCGGAAUCCGCUAAGGAGUGUGUAACAACUCACCUGCCGAAUGAACUAGCCCUGAAAAUGGAUGGCGCUCAAGCGUACUACCAAUACCUCGCCGCUAGGGUAGAAACGAUGCCCUAGCGAGUAGGCAGGCGUGGAGGCCCGUGACGAAGCCUUGGGGGUGACCCCGGGUAGAACGGCCUCUAGUGCAGAUCUUGGUGGUAGUAGCAUAUAUUCAAAUGAGAACUUUGAAGACUGAAG
This 345-nucleotide ribosomal RNA is filed under the name uncultured alveolate. RNAcentral describes it as "partial Eukaryotic large subunit ribosomal RNA". It matches the Rfam family "Eukaryotic large subunit ribosomal RNA", at positions 1152 to 1496 of the family's 3401-position model. The record is from RNAcentral.